This 231-nucleotide ribosomal RNA is filed under the name Enterobacter roggenkampii. RNAcentral's name for it is "partial 23S ribosomal RNA". It matches the Rfam family "Bacterial large subunit ribosomal RNA", at positions 429 to 662 of the family's 2925-position model. RNAcentral also lists the same sequence under 1 other name. The record is from RNAcentral. Lineage: Bacteria; Pseudomonadati; Pseudomonadota; Gammaproteobacteria; Enterobacterales; Enterobacteriaceae.
GUAUCCUGUCUGAAUAUGGGGGGACCAUCCUCCAAGGCUAAAUACUCCUGACUGACCGAUAGUGAACCAGUACCGUGAGGGAAAGGCGAAAAGAACCCCGGCGAGGGGAGUGAAAAAGAACCUGAAACCGUGUACGUACAAGCAGUGGGAGCACCUUCGUGGUGUGACUGCGUACCUUUUGUAUAAUGGGUCAGCGACUUAUAUUCUGUAGCAAGGUUAACCGUAUAGGGG